UACGUCCACAUCACGUUGAAACACCGGUUCCUGUACGAUCACUAGAGUUAAGCAACGUCGAUCCAGGUCAUUAUCUAGAUGGGUGACCGUUUGGAAAUACCAGGUGCUGUAAG
This is a non-coding RNA of Acanthosepion pharaonis, 113 nucleotides long. The record is from the annotation of a GenBank genome assembly. Lineage: Eukaryota; Metazoa; Mollusca; Cephalopoda; Sepiida; Sepiidae.